This 210-nucleotide ribosomal RNA is filed under the name Euoticus elegantulus (western needle-clawed galago). RNAcentral describes it as "partial 16S ribosomal RNA". The record is from RNAcentral. Lineage: Eukaryota; Metazoa; Chordata; Mammalia; Primates; Galagidae.
CUAUGGAGCUUAAAUUUACAACCCAAACCUUACAUAAACAUUUCUAAGGGUUCCAAAAACACGGUGCCUGGGUGAACAAUUUUGGUUGGGGUGACCUCGGAGCACAAGAAAACCUCCGAAUAUUUUUUGCUCAGACAUUACCAGUCAAAGCAAACAUUCAUACAUAUACAUUGACCCAAAAUUAUUGAUCAACGGAACAAGUUACCCUAG